CGGCGAGAAGGGCAAACCCGGUGCGAACCGGGGACGCAAAGCCACGGGACCCACGAGGUCGGCCGGGCUACCACC
Molecule: regulatory RNA element, 75 nt
Organism: Actinoplanes awajinensis subsp. mycoplanecinus
Lineage: Bacteria; Bacillati; Actinomycetota; Actinomycetes; Micromonosporales; Micromonosporaceae
Rfam family: c-di-GMP-I riboswitch aptamer
About the family: GEMM was predicted in a large-scale screen for bacterial structured RNA regulatory elements. Genes associated with GEMM are involved in a diverse array of functions, including chemotaxis regulation, signal transduction, secretion and chitin.
Source: Rfam